UACAACCAACGUGGUAAUGCUGGCAUAAUAAUUCCCGGUUGCCAUUUUCUGACAUUUGAAAAGAUCUGAAGAUACGCCCCUUGGAUGCCUGCAGAGAAGCUCUGGGGCUUCAGUCAAUGACUCAGGGUAGCCACCGAACAUGAUGCUCGGGCAGUGGGUGCCACCUGGACUCCACUCUCCCCUCUCUCUGGGAUCAUAGAGUCCAAGGUGUUCUGUGGCCUCUCGGCCAAUCCCAGCAGCUCAGCGUGCAGAAGACCGAGGAGCCAUUGGUCAGUGUAGGAGGUGCCUGGAGUUUUGGAGAUGGGAUCCACAGGAAUUCAACACAACACGAAAUAAUCAACAAAUUCGGGGAAUGUUAAUCUGACCAUCACCAGUUACAAAUGAUGUUUCAUGCUACCUUCUAUUCCUGCCUUCAUAAAUCAAGGUAAUUACUUGGCAAUCUGGCUAUGCCUUGUAAGGCAAAAGAGCUGUUCAUUUCUUGUGUCAAAUGGUGAACAGGGAGGGAGAGUAAAAUGGUAAAUAACCCUGCCUCCCAUCUGUGCCCAAUCAGCUCUAAAUCUCCAGGAAAAAAUGUGCUCAGGAUGGCCAGAGAAAUGUCCUUCCAACUGUGCAUGGAAAGGUAUGAUUUUGUGCAGCAGGUGAAGGACUGGUUAGAGUAAGUGUGUGCUGAGCUUUUGUGUUUGAAAGCGAGCCUGUGCACUUCUAACGAUUGGAAGGUUUCCUUGCCUUCUCCGAUCUUACACACAGCAAGGACAGCAAAGCCUUCCAGACCUGCCUGUGACAUGCACUGCACAUUCUAAAGAUGCCUAUGCAAUGGAAAACACCACUGUCUGCUCCAGCACAGCUGCCAUUCUUCCAUCUUAUCGACCUUAAUGCAACAACUCCUCACAGGCAGAGAUUUUAAAAUGUGUUCUUGGCAGAAGAGAGACUCAAAGAUGGGACAAAUGUGUCAUUUAAAUGCCUGUUAAAAUGGAAACAGACAUAGUAUAGUCAGAGGAUUGUGGCAGCUAAGAACAUAGUCUCUGGAGCAAAUCUGCAUGGGUGGCAAUGCCAAGCACAUGAGGUCCUAGUUGUAUGAACUUAGGAAAAGAAAAAGAGAACAUAUAUCCCCCUACCUUUUGAUUUCCAACAGUCUACUGAGAGGCCAAGAUUAUUUGCAGGGAAAGAAAAGGGGUCAAAAUGUUUUGCCAGUAACUCCCAAAUCAUCUACAGCCAAGGAGAAAAGUGUUUCAAGACAGAGGUGCUCAAUGGUAUCAAAUACUGCCAACAGACCAAGUAAUACAUGCAUUGAAGUGUCUACUGGAUCUAGCUAUAUGAUUCCACAGCUGUUUUAUAGUAACUCAGAGUUUGAAGAGAAAUUACUCCUGCAGUACCAGUUUCCAAAAUGCUUUGUAGCAUCUUCUCAAAAAACAAAUGGGAAGAAGCCAAUCAGAAAUAAGGUAGAAUUGGCCAGGCACGGUGGCUCAUGCCUGUAAUCCAGCACUUUGGGAGGCCAAGGUGGACGGAUCACCUGAGGUCAGGAGUUUGAGACCAGCCUGGCCAACAUGGGAAACCCUGUCUCUACUAAAAAUACAAAAAUCAGCUGGGCAUGGUGGCACUUGCCUAUAAUCUCAGCUACUUGGGAGGCUGCGGCAGAAGAAUCGCUUGAACCUGGGAGGCGGAGGUUGCCUCCCGGUGAGACAAGAUUGCACCACUGCGCUCCAGCCUGGGCAACAGACCGAGGCUCUGUCACGAAAAAAAAAAAAAAAAAAAAAAGAAAAGAAAAACAAAAAAGAAGAAAGAAGGUAGAAUAAAUAAAAGCAUUACAUUCAUUCAUUCAUUUUUAUUGAGAUGUAAUUGAAGCCUAAGCAUCAAAUUCUUAAAGCUCCGGAUGAGAGACUUGGCAAGUGUCGGUUACUUCUUUCAAAGAUGGGACUGGUGGCUCUGUAGUCGUUUGCUCCUCAAAGGAUGGUCUGAGGACCAGAAUCAUCAGAAACCCCGUGGGAGCUUGUCAGAAAUACAGAAUUUCAGGUUUUGCCCCAGACCAGCUGAAUCAGAACAUGCAUUUAAACACAAUCCUCCGGUCACUUCCAUAGCCACCUAAAUUUGAGGAGCACCAUUCUACACUGUGAUAUGCCAGCAUCGACACUUGUUUCAGCACUUUGCUUUUGCUUGUUUCAGCACCAGAACAAGGUUAUGGUGGAAAACGCUAGAAAUGAAGAUUUUGUCCCCAGGGAUGGGGGAUACAAGUUACCAAAGUAGUGGCGAGAAAAGGAAUUUUUAAUUUAGGACACUUAGGCCAUACUGAAGCAAGGUGACAAAAUGAAUAGCUACAAUGUCUCGUGAAUCUUGGGUUUCCAUUCACCCUGGUAUUCAAGAGAAAUUCUUGCAUCAUGGAAGUUGCAGUUGGAUAGGACUUUCUCAGCUGAACACUGUCAUCUGCCAGAGCUUCAGGCAAGAACCCAGAACAGAUGAAACCCCAGACAUGACAAAAUAAGCCAAAGAAUACCAGGCCAAGGUGUGAAAGGCCAGAUGAGAACAAGCAGCGUACACGAUUCUGUUGCCAACAGAUCUCCCCUAACAGUGUCGUGCACCAAAUUUCCACAGUGAAUGUCAGGAAAAAAUGGCAAUUGAGGUGGGUGGUCAAAAGAGAAGCACAGUCUAUGAUGAAGUCACCCCAGAGAAGUCCUUUUUCCGUUUUCUCCUGAGAAAUUACCAGAAGAAAUUAAAAUCCUUUUGAGUAUUGCAUUUAUC
Molecule: long non-coding RNA, 2733 nt
Filed under: Homo sapiens (human)
Lineage: Eukaryota; Metazoa; Chordata; Mammalia; Primates; Hominidae
Description: HSALNT0356408
Source: RNAcentral